CCUACGGGGGGCAGCAGUGGGGAAUAUUGGGCAAUGGGCGCAAGCCUGACCCAGCAACGCCGCGUGAAGGAAGAAGGCCCUCGGGUUGUAAACUUCUUUUAUUCGGGACGAAACAAAUGACGGUACCGAAUGAAUAAGCCACGGCUAACUACGUGCCAGCAGCCGCGGUAAUACGUAGGUGGCAAGCGUUGUCCGGAAUUACUGGGUGUAAAGGGAGCGCAGGCGGGAAGCCAAGUCAGCUGUGAAAACUACGGGCUUAACUUGUAGACUGCAGUUGAAACUGGUUUUCUUGAGU
RNAcentral lists this ribosomal RNA (295 nucleotides) under uncultured bacterium. Its description in RNAcentral is "partial 16S ribosomal RNA". It matches the Rfam family "Bacterial small subunit ribosomal RNA", at positions 338 to 647 of the family's 1533-position model. The record is from RNAcentral.